GCUGUUUUGGCAGAAUAGUGCGUUAAAUUUAGAAUUUAAAUAUAGAGUUAAUCUAAACAGUA
This 62-nucleotide transfer RNA is filed under the name Takobia yixiani. RNAcentral describes it as "tRNA-Leu". It matches the Rfam family "tRNA". Rfam says of the family: Transfer RNA (tRNA) molecules are approximately 80 nucleotides in length. Their secondary structure includes four short double-helical elements and three loops (D, anti-codon, and T loops). The record is from RNAcentral. Lineage: Eukaryota; Metazoa; Arthropoda; Insecta; Ephemeroptera; Baetidae.